Molecule: transfer RNA, 87 nt
Filed under: Coprobacillus cateniformis
Lineage: Bacteria; Bacillati; Bacillota; Erysipelotrichia; Erysipelotrichales; Coprobacillaceae
Description: tRNA-Leu
Rfam family: tRNA
About the family: Transfer RNA (tRNA) molecules are approximately 80 nucleotides in length. Their secondary structure includes four short double-helical elements and three loops (D, anti-codon, and T loops).
Source: RNAcentral
ACUCCUAUGAUGAAAUCGGUAGACAUACAGAACUUAAACUUCUGUGGGCAAAAGCUCGUAUGGGUUCGAUUCCCAUUAGGAGUACCA